CCUUCACCACCACCUACGAUUUUCGAGAUAUUCAGACUUGCCCAAGAAUUACUGAAUUAACUGAAUGACAAUAACCUAGUUCUUACAAGUUGAAUAUGAUGAGUCAUUUGAUGAGUUAAAUGGCAGGACUUUGAAACACUUUUUGGACCUGAAUUGAAGAAUUUCACUAUUCUCAUCACCAACACUACAAAUAUGUUCCUGAAAAUGGGAUUGAGUGGCAGACUCCAUGUUCCAGGAAAGACCACAAUAUCUUUGUGUUAAUUUGGACCAGUCUUCUGUUGAGCG
Long non-coding RNA from Saccostrea echinata, 285 nucleotides. RefSeq lists it as uncharacterized. The record is from RefSeq and is a predicted model, not a curated record. The transcript has 3 exons. Lineage: Eukaryota; Metazoa; Mollusca; Bivalvia; Ostreida; Ostreidae.